UACGUAGGGCGCAAGCGUUAUCCGGAAUUAUUGGGCGUAAAGAGCUCGUAGGCGGUUUGUCGCGUCUGCCGUGAAAGUCCGGGGCUCAUCUCCGGAUCUGCGGUGGGUACGGGCAGACUAGAGUGAUGUAGGGGAGACUGGAAUUCCUGGUGUAGCGGUGAAAUGCGCAGAUAUCAGGAGGAACACCGAUGGCGAAGGCAGGUCUCUGGGCAUUAACUGACGCUGAGGAGCGAAAGCAUGGGGAGCGAACAGG
RNAcentral lists this ribosomal RNA (253 nucleotides) under uncultured bacterium. RNAcentral's name for it is "partial 16S ribosomal RNA". It matches the Rfam family "Bacterial small subunit ribosomal RNA", at positions 524 to 776 of the family's 1533-position model. The record is from RNAcentral.